This is a long non-coding RNA of Mastomys coucha (southern multimammate mouse), 518 nucleotides long. RefSeq lists it as uncharacterized. NCBI's taxonomy places the organism in Eukaryota, Metazoa, Chordata, Mammalia, Rodentia, Muridae. The record is from RefSeq and is a predicted model, not a curated record. The transcript has 3 exons.
CAGUGAUUUCAUCCGUGCCUCUGGAGCCACACCCCCCUCAUCUGCUUAAAGCCUCCGAUGCCUUAAAAGACACAGUAGGCUGCUCUUUACUGACCUGAUGUCAAGAAAGUGCGGAUUCACUCACCGGUUAACAUCCAGUGCCAGGACGCCACCGAGCCAGAGAUCUCUUUUAUUCUUUAUGCCAUAUGGGGGACGCUAAGUGAACGGCAAACAACAUAGGUGGGACACUAACUGGGCCACUGGUACAACAAAUCAGUCAUCAGGUGUUUCCAUACUGAACAAAAGCUCUGUUGAGCUGGGGAGGUGGUUUCAUGGUUAAGAGACCUAGUUGCCGUUCCAGACGACCCAGGUUCUGUUCUCAGCACCCAGGUUAGGUGUCUCACAACCACCUAUAUCUCCAGUUUCAAGUCAUCAAUGCCCUCUUCUGGCCUACUCAGGAGAUUAACUGAAGUACCAUGCACACCCCACGCCCCCGUACUUGUGCUCUCUCUCUCUCUCUCUCUCUCUUUCUCACAUAC